UGCUCCUUUCAGAAAACAAUGUUCUGUGA
Molecule: non-coding RNA, 29 nt
Filed under: Mus musculus (house mouse)
Lineage: Eukaryota; Metazoa; Chordata; Mammalia; Rodentia; Muridae
Source: RNAcentral